Long non-coding RNA from Ixodes scapularis (black-legged tick), 722 nucleotides. RefSeq lists it as uncharacterized. Lineage: Eukaryota; Metazoa; Arthropoda; Arachnida; Ixodida; Ixodidae. The transcript is spliced from 3 exons. The record is from RefSeq and is a predicted model, not a curated record.
GUGCUUUUGGCGAUUUGCAUAUUUGCGUCGCGACUUUGUUUCGAACUUUUGGAACCGCGCUCCCGCAAGCUUUUGUUGACGUUAAGCGGUUCUGGUGCGUGUCUUUUUAACAAAUUAUGCGCUAAACGAGUCACGAGUUCAAGUUCUUCGUGGUAGGCCGCAUGCAGCCUUUAAGGGUCGCCAAGUCGUCACCAAGGGUUCCCCAAGGCUGGUUGCGCAGCCCCCAGGAUGCGUCCAGCGUGAACAGCGGUGUGCGGUGCUCGUGAAUGUGGUGCAAUGUGUCAAGGAACCUUUAGGAACCGCCGUGCCAAGUUACUCAAAGAGAAACACUUCGUUUUGCAUCGGUGGACGUCAUACUGACUGGAUGGAUUCCUGUGACUGCAACUUGUUUUCCUUGGGAGGCCACUUUGCGUGGGAGGACCGUUGCGUCGCCAAAGUCUGCUUCACUGAAACUGCAGCCACCUCCAUGGCGGCGCCGCCGGCGAAGCGGCAGUCCCUAAGUGGCAGAAGUACCUGGCCAAGAAUUAAGCGCCGAAAGUGGAAAUACUGAGGGCCUUGAAGGACGGCGUCUCUCAACAACGAGUGAUGGAAAGGUACGACGUCAAGAGAAGCACUUUGGUCCCGUACGUGAAAAAUGAGGCCGAGAUCCUGCUGGCUUUCGAGAGCGAGAAGUUCAAUGUGAAAAGAAAGCAGCUGCAGAAGGCGGCGCGCCCGAAACUAGG